GAUGAACGCUGGCGGCGUGCCUAAUACAUGCAAGUCGAGCGAACAGACGAGGAGCUUGCUCCUCUGACGUUAGCGGCGGACGGGUGAGUAACACGUGGAUAACCUACCUAUAAGACUGGGAUAACUUCGGGAAACCGGAUCUAAUACCGGAUAACAUGUUGAACCGCAUGGUUCAACAGUGAAAGACGGUUUUGCUGUCACGUAUAGAUGGAUCCGCGUCGCAUUAGCUAGUUGGUAAGGUAACGGCUUACCAAGGCAACGAUGCGUAGCCGACCUGAGAGGGUGAUCGGCCACACUGGAACUGAGACACGGUCCAGACUCCUACGGGAGGCAGCAGUAGGGAAUCUUCGGCAAUGGGCGAAAGCCUGACGGAGCAACGCCGCGUGAGUGAAGAAGGUCUUCGGAUCGUAAAGCUCUGUUAUUAGGGAAGAACAAAUGUGUAAGUAACUAUGCACGUCUUGACGGUACCUGAUCAGAAAGCCACGGCUAACUACGUG
This 497-nucleotide ribosomal RNA is filed under the name uncultured bacterium. Its description in RNAcentral is "partial 16S ribosomal RNA". It matches the Rfam family "Bacterial small subunit ribosomal RNA", at positions 28 to 507 of the family's 1533-position model. The record is from RNAcentral.